Molecule: ribosomal RNA, 437 nt
Filed under: Saccharomonospora sp. 42-182
Lineage: Bacteria; Bacillati; Actinomycetota; Actinomycetes; Pseudonocardiales; Pseudonocardiaceae
Description: bacterial SSU rRNA
Rfam family: Bacterial small subunit ribosomal RNA
Source: RNAcentral
GUGCCAGCAGCCGCGGUAAUACGUAGGGUGCAAGCGUUGUCCGGAAUUAUGUGCCAGCAGCCGCGGUAAUACGUAGGGUGCAAGCGUUGUCCGGAAUUAUUGGGCGUAAAGAGCUCGUAGGCGGUGUGUCACGUCUGCCGUGAAAACCUGCGGCUUAACCGUGGGCGUGCGGUGGAUACGGGCAUCACUUGAGUUCGGUAGGGGAGACUGGAAUUCCUGGUGUAGCGGUGGAAUGCGCAGAUAUCAGGAGGAACACCGGUGGCGAAGGCGGGUCUCUGGGCCGAUACUGACGCUGAGGAGCGAAAGCGUGGGGAGCGAACAGGAUUAGAUACCCUGGUAGUCCACGCCGUAAACGUUGGGCGCUAGGUGUGGGGCGCUGUUCACGUGUCCCGUGCCGUAGCUAACGCAUUAAGCGCCCCGCCUGGGGAGUACGGCCG